CAGUAGCCGCGGUAAUACGUAGGUGGCAAGCGUUGUCCGGAAUUAUUGGGCGUAAAGGGCUCGCAGGCGGCUUCUUAAGUCUGAUGUGAAAGCCCCCGGCUCAACCGGGGAGGGUCAUUGGAAACUGGGAAACUUGAGUGCAGAAGAGGAGAGUGGAAUUCCACGUGUAGCGGUGAAAUGCGUAGAGAUGUGGAGGAACACCAGUGGCGAAGGCGACUCUCUGGUCUGUAACUGACGCUGAGGAGCGAAAGCGUGGGGAGCGAACAGGAUUAGAUACCCGCGUAGUCCCUGUCUCUUAUAC
Molecule: ribosomal RNA, 301 nt
Filed under: uncultured bacterium
Lineage: Bacteria
Description: partial 16S ribosomal RNA
Rfam family: Bacterial small subunit ribosomal RNA
Source: RNAcentral